GGAACCAGUUUCUCCAUGAAAUUCCAGGUAGAUGCUAGGCCUUCUGAGGGACUCUCUUUCCUUUCCAUUCUUCUUCUCAAUAAUCGUUUUCUUUUUCCCUCAUUUCGCUUGAUUGGAAUUGUGGAUAUCGAAGUUUGAACUUAGUUUUGGUUCUUAAUUUUGAACGUCGAUGGGGAUUUUCUUAGUUUCCUUUUCCGGCGAUCUCUAAG
RNAcentral lists this unclassified non-coding RNA (209 nucleotides) under Hevea brasiliensis (rubber tree). The record is from RNAcentral. Lineage: Eukaryota; Viridiplantae; Streptophyta; Magnoliopsida; Malpighiales; Euphorbiaceae.